AGUCAUUGGGAAUAAAAUAUUUUUUCAUCGAAAUAUUAAUAAAUUUUAUGAAACCCAAAGGCGAAAUAAAAGUAAAAUAAAUUUUUUAUUUAUUUUUUAUAAAUAAAUAUAUUAAAAUUUUGAGGGAGGAUAUAUUUUUAUUACGUAUUAAAUAUCGCACUCCCAGGGCAUCUUAUACUAUUCUUAUAAUUAUUUUAUAAUUUUUAUUAUGAAUAAAGGUGCACCUAGAGCGUACACGCUGGGACCCGAAAGAUGGUGAACUAUGCCUGGUCAGGACGAAGUCAGGGGAAACCCUGAUGGAGGUCCGUAGCGAUUCUGACGUGCAAAUC
This 329-nucleotide ribosomal RNA is filed under the name Myrmeleon caliginosus. Its description in RNAcentral is "partial 28S ribosomal RNA". It matches the Rfam family "Eukaryotic large subunit ribosomal RNA", at positions 689 to 899 of the family's 3401-position model. The record is from RNAcentral. Lineage: Eukaryota; Metazoa; Arthropoda; Insecta; Neuroptera; Myrmeleontidae.